RNAcentral lists this ribosomal RNA (254 nucleotides) under uncultured bacterium. Its description in RNAcentral is "partial 16S ribosomal RNA". It matches the Rfam family "Bacterial small subunit ribosomal RNA", at positions 524 to 776 of the family's 1533-position model. The record is from RNAcentral.
CACGUAGGGGGCGAGCGUUGUCCGGAUUUAUUGGGCGUAAAGAGCUCGUAGGCGGCUCGGUAAGUCGGGUGUGAAAACUCUAGGCUCAACCUAGAGACGCCACCCGAUACUGCUGUGGCUAGAGUCCGGUAGGGGAGCAUGGAAUUCCUGGUGUAGCGGUGAAAUGCGCAGAUAUCAGGAGGAACACCAGUGGCGAAGGCGGUGCUCUGGGCCGGUACUGACGCUGAGGAGCGAAAGCGUGGGGAGCAAACAGG